This is a small nucleolar RNA of Cynara cardunculus var. scolymus (artichoke), 107 nucleotides long. The record is from RefSeq and is a predicted model, not a curated record. Lineage: Eukaryota; Viridiplantae; Streptophyta; Magnoliopsida; Asterales; Asteraceae.
AUGCCAUGAUGUGGGAAUUUCCUUAGUAAUUCCUUAUACAUCUCCCAAGCAUCAGAAACUGUUUCAUCGUCCAGUUGUUUGAAAAGAAAAUUUUCAUUUCUAAACUU